Molecule: ribosomal RNA, 414 nt
Filed under: Lautropia mirabilis
Lineage: Bacteria; Pseudomonadati; Pseudomonadota; Betaproteobacteria; Burkholderiales; Burkholderiaceae
Description: bacterial SSU rRNA
Rfam family: Bacterial small subunit ribosomal RNA
Source: RNAcentral
UGCCGGCGAGUGCCGACGGGUGAGUAAUACAUCGGACGUGCCCAGUAGUGGGGGAUAGCUCGGCGAAAGCCGGAUUAAUACCGCAUACGACCUGAGGGUGAAAGCGGGGGAUCUUCGGACCUCGCGCUAUUGGAGCGGCCGAUGGCAGAUUAGCUAGUUGGUGGGGUAAAGGCCUACCAAGGCGACGAUCUGUAGCUGGUCUGAGAGGACGACCAGCCACACUGGGACUGAGACACGGCCCAGACUCCUACGGGAGGCAGCAGUGGGGAAUUUUGGACAAUGGGCGAAAGCCUGAUCCAGCAAUGCCGCGUGUGUGAUGAAGGCCUUCGGGUUGUAAAGCACUUUUGGCGGGAACGAAAAGGACUGUGCCAAUACCACGGUUCGAUGACGGUACCCGCAGAAUAAGCACCGGCU